GACGAACGCUGGCGGCGUGCUUCACACAUGCAAGUCGAACGAAGUGGCGAACGGGUGAGUAACGCGUAAUCAACCUGCACUUCAGAGGGGGACAACAGUUGGAAACGACUGCUAAUACCGCCUACUGAAGGUGGGGAUUUCGUCGGAUUAGCUAGUUGGCGGGGUAACGUCCCACCAAGGCGAUGAUCAGUAGCCGGUCUGAGAGGAUGAACGGCCACAUUGGGACUGAGACACGGCCCAGACUCCCACGGGAGGCAGCAGGGGGGAAUAUUCCGCAAUGGAGGAAAGUCUGACGGAGCAACGCCGCGGGAGGGAUGACGGCCUUCGGGUUGUAAAGCUCUGUUAAUCGGGACGCGGUACCGGAAUAGAAAGCCACGGCUAACUACGUGCCAGCCGCCGCGGUAAUAC
This 408-nucleotide ribosomal RNA is filed under the name uncultured bacterium. RNAcentral's name for it is "partial 16S ribosomal RNA". It matches the Rfam family "Bacterial small subunit ribosomal RNA", at positions 28 to 526 of the family's 1533-position model. The record is from RNAcentral.